This is an RNA transcript of Cicer arietinum (chickpea), 1900 nucleotides long. It is a transcript of the gene named kelch repeat-containing protein At3g27220, with no coding region annotated. NCBI's taxonomy places the organism in Eukaryota, Viridiplantae, Streptophyta, Magnoliopsida, Fabales, Fabaceae. The record is from RefSeq and is a predicted model, not a curated record.
UAACCAUGAAAGUAAAAACUGAGAGAAAAUAAGAGAAAAUGUGAGAAAAUUGUAAUUGCAUUGACGGUGGAUCUAAUCGAAUGAAAUGGUUCGUGCAUCAGUAAAAGUCGGUUCCGCGAAAUUGGUAGUGAUUUGCGUUGGUCUUCUAGGGUUUGCUCUCAUUGCAGAUUUUCUGUGGGCUUCUUCUUCAUCUCCUUCUUCAUCAUCUUUCUCUGUUUUCGAUUCCAAAGCUUCCACAAUCAUUGUUCCUACCAAAGAGAAGAAUAAGAAAGAGAAAGAGAAAGAGAAGAAGAAUGGUAGUAGUAGUAGUAGUGGAAGAUUGCUUGCAGAUGCUUAUGCCGAUUUGGCUGGUCCACAACUCAAUUGGGAAAAGAUGGAAACUUCACCUGUUCCUCGUCUUGAUGGUGCUGCUAUUCAGAUUCGAAAUCGUCUCUUUGUUUUUGCUGGUUAUGGCACCAUUGAUUUGGUGCAUUCUCAUGUUGAUAUAUAUAAUUUUGAUGACGGAACUUGGGGAGGAAGAUUUGAUAUGCCGAAAGAAAUGGCGCAUUCACAUUUGGGAAUGGUGACAGAUGGAAGAUACAUUUAUAUAGUCACUGGGCAGUAUGGCCCUCAAUGUAGAGGUCCCACCGCACGCAACUUUGUGCUUGACACUGAAACAAAGCAAUGGAAGGAUCUCCCUUCUUUGCCAGUCCCUAGAUAUGCACCAGCAACUCAACUUUGGAGAGGUAGAUUGCAUGUGAUGGGUGGAAGUAAGGAGAAUCGACAUACGCCUGGAUUAGAACAUUGGAGUCUUGCUGUGAAGGAUGGAAAAGCAUUAGAAAAAGAGUGGAGAAGUGAAAUACCCAUUCCCCGUGGAGGACCUCACAGGGCUUGUGUUGUGGCCAAUGAUCGUCUCUAUGUUAUUGGUGGUCAAGAAGGCGAUUUUAUGGCCAAACCCGGGUCACCUAUUUUUAAGUGCUCGCGUCGGAUGGAGGUGGUCUAUACUGAUGUUUACAUGUUGGAUGACGAGAUGAAGUGGAAAACGCUGCCUCCAAUGCCAAAACCAAACUCACAUAUCGAAUUUGCGUGGGCGCUUGUAAACAAUUCCAUUGUUAUUGUUGGUGGCACGACAGAGAAGCACCCUGAAACCAAGAAAAUGGUUUUAAACGGGGAAGUGCUGCAGUUUAACUUAAAUACUUUGUGGUUGGACUCAAGUGGUUAAUAAAUUUCAAUUAAGGAUGAAUUGCUUACUUACCUCCCAGUCAUUUUUUGGAUUACCAGGGCUCCUUUCCUUGAGAAUCAGAAGAAGUGGUCAGUGAUUGGAAAAUUACCAUACCGGGUGAAAACGACUUUAGUUGGAUUUUGGAAAGGAUGGCUGUACUUCACUUCAGGACAGAGAGACAAAGGACCUGAUGAUCCAUCACCAAAAAAGGUCAUUGGGGAUAUGUGGAGAACAAAAUUAAAAUUGAAUGAGUGAGCAAUGGCUGUGGAAUCAUUUUGUAGAUUCUUUGUUUAACUAUCCAAAAUUGCAGCAGAGGCGAAGAGGCCAAAAUAUUACAUAUUCUUUGUCCCUAGAAUAUUCAUUGUUGUAAUUUAUUGAGAAUGACUGAUUCAAUUCAACAUUAAUAGUUGCUGUCACAUUAUACAAAAGGAAAAUUUACACUCGCAUUUCUUGAGGUAUGCUUACAUGACACACUCACUUCCUUUACCCUGUAAAAGACAUUGACAUCAUCAUAAUUAUAUAAAAAUAGAGAUCUAUGUGUUAUUUAAACAGAGGUGUGUGCAACUUUUUCAGCAAUUAAGGGUGGUGAGUGUUCAUGUAAACAAUAGUAGUGUGUGCACUAUUGAUAAACUUUUGUACUGCAGGAGUCUAUCUAUUGAAGUAAAUAUAUGAAUUAAUUUUCAAGUUGGCAGCAAGAAA